Molecule: ribosomal RNA, 465 nt
Filed under: Vreelandella stevensii
Lineage: Bacteria; Pseudomonadati; Pseudomonadota; Gammaproteobacteria; Oceanospirillales; Halomonadaceae
Description: partial 16S ribosomal RNA
Rfam family: Bacterial small subunit ribosomal RNA
Source: RNAcentral
CCUACGGGGGGCUGCAGUGGGGAAUAUUGGACAAUGGGGGGAACCCUGAUCCAGCCAUGCCGCGUGUGUGAAGAAGGCCCUCGGGUUGUAAAGCACUUUCAGUGAGGAAGAACGCCUGGUGGUUAAUACCCAUCAGGAAAGACAUCACUCACAGAAGAAGCACCGGCUAACUCCGUGCCAGCAGCCGCGGUAAUACGGAGGGUGCGAGCGUUAAUCGGAAUUACUGGGCGUAAAGCGCGCGUAGGUGGCUUGAUAAGCCGGUUGUGAAAGCCCCGGGCUCAACCUGGGAACGGCAUCCGGAACUGUCAAGCUAGAGUGCAGGAGAGGAAGGUAGAAUUCCCGGUGUAGCGGUGAAAUGCGUAGAGAUCGGGAGGAAUACCAGUGGUGAAGGCGGCCUUCUGGACUGACACUGACACUGAGGUGCGAAAGCGUGGGUAGCAAACAGGAUUAGAUACCCGUGUAGUC